RNAcentral lists this ribosomal RNA (1481 nucleotides) under Stenomitos frigidus CAU11. Its description in RNAcentral is "bacterial SSU rRNA". It matches the Rfam family "Bacterial small subunit ribosomal RNA". Lineage: Bacteria; Bacillati; Cyanobacteriota; Cyanophyceae; Leptolyngbyales; Leptolyngbyaceae. The record is from RNAcentral.
AGAGUUUGAUCCUGGCUCAGGAUGAACGCUGGCGGUCUGCUUAACACAUGCAAGUCGAACGGAGUGCUUCGGCACUUAGUGGCGGACGGGUGAGUAACGCGUGAGAAUCUGCCUUCAGGUUGGGGACAACAGUUGGAAACGACUGCUAAUACCCAAUGUGCCGAGAGGUGAAAGCUUUAGUGCCUGAGGAUGAGCUCGCGUCUGAUUAGCUAGUUGGAGUGGUAACGGCACACCAAGGCGACGAUCAGUAGCUGGUCUGAGAGGAUGAUCAGCCACACUGGGACUGAGACACGGCCCAGACUCCUACGGGAGGCAGCAGUGGGGAAUUUUCCGCAAUGGGCGCAAGCCUGACGGAGCAAGACCGCGUGAGGGAGGAAGGCUCUUGGGUUGUAAACCUCUUUUAUCAGGGAAGAAGAUCUGACGGUACCUGAUGAAUCAGCAUCGGCUAACUCCGUGCCAGCAGCCGCGGUAAUACGGAGGAUGCAAGCGUUAUCCGGAUUUAUUGGGCGUAAAGCGUCCGCAGGUGGUUUUACAAGUCUGCUGUUAAAGCGCGAGGCUUAACCUCGUACAGGCAGUGGAAACUGUGAGACUAGAGUAUGGUAGGGGUAGCGGGAAUUCCCAGUGUAGCGGUGAAAUGCGUAGAUAUUGGGAAGAACACCAGCGGCGAAAGCGCGCUACUGGGCCAUUACUGACACUCAUGGACGAAAGCUAGGGGAGCGAAAGGGAUUAGAUACCCCUGUAGUCCUAGCUGUAAACGAUGGAUACUAGGUGUUGCCCGUAUCGACCCGGGCAGUGCCGUAGCUAACGCGUUAAGUAUCCCGCCUGGGGAGUAUGCACGCAAGUGUGAAACUCAAAGGAAUUGACGGGGGCCCGCACAAGCGGUGGAGUAUGUGGUUUAAUUCGAUGCAACGCGAAGAACCUUACCAGGGCUUGACAUGUCGCGAAUCCCGGUGAAAGUCGGGAGUGCCUUCGGGAGCGCGAACACAGGUGGUGCAUGACUGUCGUCAGCUCGUGUCGUGAGAUGUUGGGUUAAGUCCCGCAACGAGCGCAACCCUCGUUUUUAGUUGCCAGCAUUUAGUUGGGCACUCUAGAGAGACUGCCGGUGACAAACCGGAGGAAGGUGGGGAUGACGUCAAGUCAGCAUGCCCCUUACGUCCUGGGCUACACACGUACUACAAUGCUACGGACAAAGGGUUGCGAGCUAGCGAUAGCAAGCUAAUCCCAUAAACCGUGGCUCAGUUCAGAUUGCAGGCUGCAACUCGCCUGCAUGAAGGAGGAAUCGCUAGUAAUCCCAGGUCAGCAUACUGGGGUGAAUACGUUCCCGGGCCUUGUACACACCGCCCGUCACACCAUGGGAGUUGGCCACGCCCGAAGUCGUUACUCCAACCGCUUGCGGAGGAGGAUGCCGAAAGCAGGGCUGAUGACUGGGGUGAAGUCGUAACAAGGUAGCCGUACCGGAAGGUGUGGCUGGAUCACCUCCU